This 1058-nucleotide long non-coding RNA is filed under the name Brassica rapa (field mustard). RNAcentral describes it as "long non-coding RNA (BRAP_LNC007160)". Lineage: Eukaryota; Viridiplantae; Streptophyta; Magnoliopsida; Brassicales; Brassicaceae. The record is from RNAcentral.
AAUACUUAUAAAAAAUACAUAAAUGAUAUGACGGAGCUGUUUUCAUUUGAGGCAUGAACCUAAAACAUUCUUUGAAUCAAGAAAAAAAUCUAAAACAUAUUUUGUUUACACUAUUUGACAGAACACAACUUUCAAAAUAAUCAACGGAGCUGCUUUCAUUUGAUGCAUGAUGAGUGAUACCUACAAAUAAGUAGGUUCAUCUUUCAGAUUCAUCAUAGCUAAGUCAAUCUCCUCUCUAGAUCAUCCACUUCAGUAGAUUCCAAGCUGCAAGAAUAUUUGAACACUGAAAAGAAUGAGUUAUCUAUUUCUGGUAAACUUAAUAUAUUAAAGUAAGCAAAAUAGAUUGUAUUUCUUGUUCUUCAUUAUAUUCCUGGUAAACUUAAUAGAUCAAAGUAACCAAAAUAUAAAAGUAAGAAAACAAAUAUACAUGACGUUGUUUUAGUUUUGAAAGUCAUCACUUUCCCUAGUUAUAUAAUAUAAAAACGUUACUUUUUUGAACAUUAUAUAAACGUUAUUUUAAAUAAAUGUAUUGCCGUUCCCCAAAAAAAUAAUAAUAGAUGUAUUGUCUUUGCGUAAAUUUGUAGUGUGAAGAGUGCAACGAAGGGAGGAGGACUUGAGACCGAAGACGUAAGCAACUCUGCUGCAUCUCCAAACGCAUCCCCAACUUUCUCUCCUGUGUUUUCGAUCAGUGUUUUGGUUGUCGCGUUUAAGGUGGUUCAACGCCUUUGGUGAAAGCUGUGCGGAUCUGAUUUUAACAACAGCAUCGUUCGAUUCAUCUAAGAGAAAGAAGAGAUCAUCAACCGAAGAUGAUAGGAAGAAAGAGUUAAUUAGUCCGAGAUGAUUGUUUUUAGAACGGCUAAAAGCUUGUGUGUGUCCUAAAGUUCUAAUGAUCUGAGAUCCACCUGAGCAGCAGCUGCCUCUGAGAAUGUUUUGAGAUAUUUCAGCUUCAUUGCUAGCAGAAACCUUGGCUUCCUGCAUCGCAUCUACUAUAAUUUUUGUGAAUGACAUGAGCUCAUCUUCUUCCACAUGCAGUGCACAUUUCAAUUCUGAACUUAAGG